This 72-nucleotide transfer RNA is filed under the name Camelus bactrianus (Bactrian camel). It matches the Rfam family "tRNA". From Rfam's summary of the family: Transfer RNA (tRNA) molecules are approximately 80 nucleotides in length. Their secondary structure includes four short double-helical elements and three loops (D, anti-codon, and T loops). Lineage: Eukaryota; Metazoa; Chordata; Mammalia; Artiodactyla; Camelidae. RNAcentral also lists the same sequence under 2 other names. The record is from Rfam by way of RNAcentral.
GAGGGUAUAGCUCAGUGGUAGAGUGCGUGCUUAGCAUGCACAAGGUCCUGGAUUCAAUCCCCAGUACCUCCA